GUCUACAUAGAUUAUUUUAAAAUCAUGAUGCUGUUAACUUCAAGAAGAACAUUGUUUCUGUAGUCG
RNAcentral lists this transfer RNA (66 nucleotides) under Dollfusiella sp. MZUSP 7992. RNAcentral's name for it is "tRNA-Asn". The record is from RNAcentral. Lineage: Eukaryota; Metazoa; Platyhelminthes; Cestoda; Trypanorhyncha; Eutetrarhynchidae.